RNAcentral lists this ribosomal RNA (460 nucleotides) under uncultured bacterium. RNAcentral's name for it is "partial 16S ribosomal RNA". It matches the Rfam family "Bacterial small subunit ribosomal RNA", at positions 338 to 795 of the family's 1533-position model. The record is from RNAcentral.
CCUACGGGUGACAGCAGUGAGGAAUAUUGGUCAAUGGGCGCGAGCCUGAACCAGCCAAGUAGCGUGAAGGAUGACUGCCCUACGGGUUGUAAACUUCUUUUAUAAAGGAAUAAAGUGAGGCACGUGUGCCUUUUUGUAUGUAAUUCAUGAAUAAGGAUCGGCUAACCCCGGUCCAGCAGCCGCGGUAAUACGGAGGAUCCGAGCGUUAUCCGGAUUUAUUGGGUUUAAAGGGAGCGUAGAUGGGUUGUUGAGUCAGUUGUGAAAGUUUGCGGCUCAACCCUAAAAUUGCAAUUGAUACUGGCAGUCUUGAGUACAGGUGAGGUAGGCGGAAUGCGUGGUGUAGCGGUGAAAUGCUUAGAUAUCACGAAGAACUCCGAUUGCGAAGGCAGCUUACUAAACUGCCACUGACAUUGAUGCUCGAAAGUGUGGGGAUCAAACAGGAUUAGAUACCCCGGUAGUC